This 562-nucleotide ribosomal RNA is filed under the name uncultured bacterium. Its description in RNAcentral is "partial 16S ribosomal RNA". It matches the Rfam family "Bacterial small subunit ribosomal RNA", at positions 355 to 902 of the family's 1533-position model. The record is from RNAcentral.
UGGGGAAUUUUGGACAAUGGGCGAAAGCCUGAUCCAGCAAUGCCGCGUGUGUGAAGAAGGCCUUCGGGUUGUAAAGCACUUUUGUCCGGAAAGAAAUCCUUGGCUCUAAUACAGUCGGGGGAUGACGGUACCGGAAGAAUAAGCACCGGCUAACUACGUGCCAGCAGCCGCGGUAAUACGUAGGGUGCAAGCGUUAAUCGGAAUUACUGGGCGUAAAGCGUGCGCAGGCGGUUUGCUAAGACCGAUGUGAAAUUCCCGGGCUCAACCUGGGAACUGCAUUGGUGACUGGCAGGCUAGAGUAUGGCAGAGGGGGGUAGAAUUCCACGUGUAGCAGUGAAAUGCGUAGAGAUGUGGAGGAAUACCGAUGGCGAAGGCAGCCCCCUGGGGCCAAUACUGACGCUCAUGCACGAAAGGCGUGGGGGAGCAAACAGGAUUAGAUACCCCUGGGUAGUCCACGCCCCUAAACGAUGUCAACUAGUUGUUGGGGACUUCAUUUUCCUUAGUAACGUAGCUAACGCGUGAAGUUGACCGCCUGGGGAGUACGGUCGCAAGAUUAAAACUU